UGCGUAGGCGGUUUGGUAAGUCUUGUGUGAAAUCUACAGGCUCAACUUGUAGUCUGCACGAGAAACUGCCGGGCUUGAGUGUGGGAGAGGUGAGUGGAAUUUCCGGUGUGGCGGUGAAAUGCGUAGAUAUCGGAAGGAACACCUGUGGCGAAAGCGGCUCACUGGACCACAACUGACGCUGAUGCACGAAAGCUAGGGGAGCAAACAGGAUUAGAUACCCUGGUAGUCCUAGCCCUAAACGAUGACUGCUUGGUGUGACGGGUACCCAAUCCCGCCGUGCCGUAGCUAACGCGUUAAGCAGUCCGCCUGGGGAGUACGGUCGCAAGGCUGAA
RNAcentral lists this ribosomal RNA (332 nucleotides) under uncultured bacterium. RNAcentral's name for it is "bacterial SSU rRNA". It matches the Rfam family "Bacterial small subunit ribosomal RNA", at positions 568 to 898 of the family's 1533-position model. The record is from RNAcentral.